CCUACGGGAGGCAGCAGUGGGGAAUAUUGGGCAAUGGGCGCAAGCCUGACCCAGCAACGCCGCGUGAAGGAAGAAGGCUUUCGGGUUGUAAACUUCUUUUCUCAGUGACGAAGCAAGUGACGGUACCUGAGGAAUAAGCCACUGCCAACUUCGUGCCAGCAGCCGCGGUAAUACGUAGGUGGCCAGCGUUAUCCGGAUGUACUGGGUGUAAAGGGCGUGUAGGCGGGUCUGCAAGUCAGAGGUGAAAACCAAGGGCUCAACCUGUGGCCUGCAUUUGAAACUGUAGUUGUUGAGUAAUGGAGAGGAAGACGGAAUGCCUAGUGUAGCGGUGAAAUGCGUAGAUAUUAGGAGGAACACCAGUGGCGAAGGCGGUCAGCUGGACAGCAACUGACGCUGAGGCGCGAAAGCGUGGGGAGCAAACAGGAUUAGAUACCCCUGUAGUC
RNAcentral lists this ribosomal RNA (443 nucleotides) under uncultured bacterium. RNAcentral's name for it is "partial 16S ribosomal RNA". It matches the Rfam family "Bacterial small subunit ribosomal RNA", at positions 338 to 795 of the family's 1533-position model. The record is from RNAcentral.